RNAcentral lists this ribosomal RNA (497 nucleotides) under uncultured bacterium. RNAcentral's name for it is "partial 16S ribosomal RNA". It matches the Rfam family "Bacterial small subunit ribosomal RNA", at positions 28 to 507 of the family's 1533-position model. The record is from RNAcentral.
GAUGAACGCUGGCGGCGUGCCUAAUACAUGCCAGUCGAGCGAACAGACGAGAAGCUUGCUCCUCUGACGUUAGCGGCGGACGGGUGAGUAACACGUGGAUAACCUACCUAUAAGACUGGGAUAACUUCGGGAAACCGUAGCUAAUACCGGAUAAUAUAUUGAACCGCAUGGUUCAAUAGUGAAAGACGGUCUUGCUGUCACUUAUAGAUGGAUCCGCGCUGCAUUAGCUAGUUGGUAAGGUAACGGCUUACCAAGGCAACGAUGCAUAGCCGACCUGAGAGGGUGAUCGGCCACACUGGAACUGAGACACGGUCCAGACUCCUACGGGAGGCAGCAGUAGGGAAUCUUCCGCAAUGGGCGAAAGCCUGACGGAGCAACGCCGCGUGAGUGAUGAAGGUCUUCGGAUCGUAAAACUCUGUUAUUAGGGAAGAACAAAUGUGUAAGUAACUGUGCACAUCUUGACGGUACCUAAUCAGAAAGCCACGGCUAACUACGUG